AAACCUGACCCCUUUAUAAGGUCAUAUGCCCCUUCAAUGAAUUCCCAAACCCCUGACCCCUUUGUAUGAAAACGCUGAUUCUGUGUAAUGUUAGCUUUAUUACUACUGCUUUCCAAUCACCCUUACCCCUCUCUAGUCUUCAUCAGUUUUAAAUAUAUGUUCUUGCACUCCACUACACUCUUAGACUUAGGUUCUUCCCCUCUUUUGUGAGUCUUGCCUUGGGACCUAUGAGCUCUCUGUGAACUUGGACACAUAAGGGUUGGCCCUUUCACACUGCACUCAUCUCUAUCUGGUUAUGCAGACUUGGGUGUAAGCAUUGCCUAGUGUCUCUUGAGAACCUUAGGGAAUUUUGGCACACUUAGGUCUGAGAAAGGCUUUGAAACAAGUGGCAUUUGAGGUGUUUUGUUCCAUAACUCAGAGAGGAAGUCAGAAUCAGGCUUCAUCUGGUUGUAAUUUCUUCUUUUACAUUCUUUCUGAUGUAAUUCAAUAAUUGGUCUGUAAUAAACAUUUGGGUUUGGUUAUUGAAAAAAGGCUAGGUAAUUGUGCAUGCUUAUCUAUUAGAAGGGUAGAGAACAUGCCUAUAGGACAUAUUUUACUGCAUGUCUAUCUCUGCAUUUAGAGAACCUGUCUAUAAGACUUGUCUUAAAUUCUGCAUUUAGAUAACAUGACUAUAGGACUUGUCUUAAAUUCUGCAUGUUUACUACCACACUUAGACACCAUGUUCUUAGGAUGCAAUUGGUUAUAAUCCUGCAUCAUGUCCAAUAUAUUAAAAUUAGUACCUUUUCAUAGAAAUCAUGCCG
Molecule: long non-coding RNA, 800 nt
Filed under: Nicotiana benthamiana
Lineage: Eukaryota; Viridiplantae; Streptophyta; Magnoliopsida; Solanales; Solanaceae
Description: long non-coding RNA (NBEN_LNC009094)
Source: RNAcentral